CCUCUGCUCUCCGCUCUGCUUCAGCUCAAACAGCUGCAGCAGAUCAACAGCUGGAACAGCCGCUGCCUCUGGUCGUCUUGGUGCCUUUGCACCACGGUGCUGCUGGAGGAAGCCCUGAUGCUGCACACUCUGAUGGAGGAAGAGCUGAUCUCAGAGUACAUGCUGCUCUUCAUUCCAGACUCAACCAGUGACCUGCAGGGAUCCAAGCAGCUGACCCAGGCCGUCCGCUGGCUGCUGGCCCGCUCUCCUCCCCCCCCCCCCCCCCCCCCCCC
This is a long non-coding RNA of Fundulus heteroclitus (mummichog), 272 nucleotides long. RefSeq lists it as uncharacterized. The transcript has 3 exons. The record is from RefSeq and is a predicted model, not a curated record. NCBI's taxonomy places the organism in Eukaryota, Metazoa, Chordata, Actinopteri, Cyprinodontiformes, Fundulidae.